This 73-nucleotide transfer RNA is filed under the name bacterium G20. It matches the Rfam family "tRNA". Rfam says of the family: Transfer RNA (tRNA) molecules are approximately 80 nucleotides in length. The record is from Rfam by way of RNAcentral.
GGUCCCAUCGUCUAGUGGCCUAGGACACCAGGUUUUCAUCCUGGCAACAGGGGUUCGAUUCCCCUUGGGAUCA